GUAAGAAACUAUUUUUGCUCUUUCCCCGAAACGUGCAAUCAGCCCAAUGCGUACAUUUACAAUUUCGUUUUGUAUGAUAUAUGACAGGUUGUUGGAUUGAAUCUAGGCUUUCCCUUUUUUUUUAAAAAAAAAAAAAUGUGAAUCUACUAGAUAGAUGGAUAGUAUUAGUCAUUUAAAUAUGAAUAUUCCGUAUUUGAUAAAAAAAAAAUGAAUAUUCCGUGUUCCUGUGGGGGUGAUUGAUGCAGCUUUGGAUCUCAAGGAGAAGCUCAUUGGUUUGGGAUCCAGGAACUUCUUCCUCUGUUCUAAGCCCGCCCCGGCUGCUUCAGACCCAGCGACGGCCUCCUCCUCCUCCUCGGCCGUACCUUCUUCUUCUUCUUCUUGUGCCAAAGAAGCUAAGAAGGCGUGCAAGAUAUCCAUCACUUGGCUUAGGUUCAUGGAUUUCUUGCUGUAGCUUGAUUGAUAUUUCUCUUUUUACCUUCAAUUACUAUUUCUGCUAUUGUGGGACGGAAUCUCUUCUCAGACAGAUGAUUCUGUGGCUACAAGUUGCAACCCUUCUGUUUGUUUGGGGUGGGGUGAAUCUGCAGCACUAGUUGUUGGCUGGUGUUGUUGUAAGAUCGAGAGGGAUUACAGUGUCUUGGACGUGUACAUAUAAAUGAAACCAAGUUUAUAUUUCCGUGCAUGCAUUUAAAUACAGCUCCUCUGCAAUUCCCCUUUGCGGACCGGUCUUGAUGUGUGAGUCUUACGGAACUUACAGGUGUAAAUUUAUAAAUCUGCCUAGUUAUUAGCUUCUUAAGAAUCGGGAGUGCGUCCGACCCAACUGGCUGAUGUUACGUUUGUCAUUCAUUCAAUUUAACUAUUGGCAUAAUUAUUGAACAUAGGCGGCCUAGCACUGGAUAUUUUUGUGUCGUCGCUGUUGUUGAAUUUAUUUUCUCAUGUGGCCUGUAGCAAAUUAGUGGACAAGAAAGCUGUCAUACUAACGUUGGUUGAUGUUAAGUGGUGUGCGCAGGCUCUGUCUUGUUCGUAUGACUAAUUACACCAGAGAAUCAUUUUGUCACGCUUAUCAGAGUAAAAGAAUAAAAAUAAAAAUAACGAUGCUAUUGUAUAGCUAUGCUAAUUAACGUUUCAUGGGAUUUAGAUCCACCUAUAUUGAUCUGUUAAUUAAAUUGGAAGUCCCUUUCCACCUCCUCCCAUUUUUUGGGUGUAUAUGGCGGGGGCGCUAUAGUUAUAAUUGUUAUAUAUAAAUCUUUUUUUUUUUUUGAUAGAAGGCGGAAGGCCUAUUACUUUAUAAACAAAUAGUUUAGGGACUUUUCUCAAAGAGGGACAAAUAUCCAAAAAAAAAAAAAAAAACUGAGGCAGAUAUUAUGAACAAUAAAAUACAACCCCAAAACCAAUACAUAAACAUCUCAAAAAAAUUCAACUGAGUCAUAAGAUAAUCCAACAGAUGUAAGGAUUGAAAACCAGUGCAAUUAUAUCUUCAUGAUGUUUGAUGUUCCAAAAAAGAGAGAAUCCCAACAAAUAUGGAGACAUCAAUUGCAUGUAGAGCAGGCAUGAGGGAGAAUGAUGGUAAUAGUAAUUUUCAGCAGCAACAUUUGAUGCAGUAGAAUAGCAAUCUUUCAAAAAUAAAGAAAUAAAAAUCCUGAAUAAUAAGCUACAAUUUGCAGCACCUUGAAAGAUUGAGACUUGAUGUGCUCUGUAUAGCUGAGUAAGACAUGACGAUAGCUUUUUAAUGUUGGAACAAAUAGAUAUGUCAUAAGAGAAACAUACAAAUAAGUCAAACAGCUAUCCUUUGCCCUGGCCACCGACAAGAAAAGAGAAUAUGCAACAUAUGACAUGGUAAACUUGGAUGCUAUUUCUGAACAAGUAACAUUAGCUAACCAAUAAAUACUACUAUGGGAACUCAAAUAACCCAAUCGAUAGUGACAAAAAGAUAUCUGAGACAUGUGACUAAGAUCCAUCUGACCUUGGAGCAGUACAUGAAUAAUUAACUUUAUACACCAAAAGAGAGAGCAAGAUGUGAAUAGAUAAUUAGAGUGCUGAAAUGAUACAUCCACAGUACUGAAGAUAUGAAUAGGUAAUAAUAAAACCUACAAGCAAACACAAAAAAAGUUAAUAAUAAACUUUCUUUUUUCUUUUUUCUUUCUUUCUUUUUUUUUUUCCUUUUUUUGUUCUUCUUUUUCCCUUUUUCUUUUUCUUUUUUUUGUUUUUCCUUAUUUUUUCCACACAUCUCCCAUCCUCCUUUUGUAUGUCUAUGCAGAGAAUAAUAGCACAUUGAAAAUGGCAUUAAUCCUAUAUGAUUCCAUGAUGAGUAAACCGUAGCAUCUUGUAGGGUAGAGUCAUUGUAAAUAAUAUAACAAUAAUCAACAUGGUGUUUGAAAAGAUAUCGACUUCUGCCAACCAAAGCUUCCAAUCCAGCACAUAAGAAGAAGAUAUAAUGGACGAUAUUCAGUGAAACUAUAGUAACUGAGAUAAAGAUAUCUGAAAAUUACUAUAGACAUAUGCAAAAAGCCCCAAAAAAAGGUGUCUGACAGUUACUAAGAUCAAAACAAACAUCCUGCCAACAGCCCAAAGAAUUGAAGAGUAUAAUAUCAUUGCUGAGAUAGCAAUCUCUAAGAAAAUUUCAAUUUGUUUAUGACCACCGUUAAGAAAUGACAAGAUUUUUGGUAUAUGUAGUAGAGAAGAAAUCAGAAAUGGAUAAGCCCGUAUCCUGCACCCAAGAACAAACAGGGUUAGAAGUAAACCUUUGUUUUUUUUGUUUUUUGUUUUUGUAUUUUUUUUUUCCUUCUUUCUUUUUCUUUAUCUUUUUUCUUUUGUCCUCCACAUAUACCAAAAAACUAUAAAAUGCUCGUACCGUACAAUAAAGUGUAUCAGCAAAUAUAUUCUUUGCAGAUAGUCAUAUGAAGAUCAGCCUAUAAUUUUGGUACAAUGCCACAUUCGACCUACAGAUUUUCGAAGGUAACAUGUAUCAUGAACCCCACACUCCAUAGAAAGAAAGCCAUGUUGGGUCACAACCACCAUAUGGAGACCUAGAAAAUCAUCAUCAUAGGACUGAUGCAUGACCACAAUCCUAUAGUCUUCCUCCUCAAAUCGAGAAUAGCACCCAGCAAUUGGAAUAUAGGAGUGGUAUUAGCAGGUCACAAAUAUUUAUAAAAAAACCAUAUAUUUCACUCUGUACAACAGAUAUCAAGUGACCGUCAGCAGAACCUAUCAGAUAUGGUGGGUGAACAAGCACAGUCUUCCUUUUAUUUUCAAUACAUAGAUCCUGCUUGCUUUCCCAAUCAUACCCUCCAGAUUUAUACUUUCUCCCUCUCUGACGUUUAUCAUCUUCCACCGAAUAUUUUUUUCUUUUUUCUUUCCUAACUUUAUCUUCCCCCCUUGACCACCUUGGAAUACAGACUUCCUCAUACCGCCCAUUCUCAUUUUUCUUUGAGUCCACUUUAAUUUCCCUUUAUUCAGCCACCUAUUCUCCACACCUUGUCUGUUUUGAUAGUGAUGUGUGGGGUAACCAAAAAAGGUGUUCCAUUUUUGUGACAUAGCACAAUAAUCCCAUCGACAUCUAUAACAGCAAAAGUUAAGAAUAUUACCGAUGAUCUCUCUUACGCCACAAUGUGAUGUAGAAUCACAUGCCAUGAUUAUAUUAGGAAUCUGCAUGUACAAGAGUAGAGAAAGAAUUAGAAUUUGAAUACUAAAACCAUUUUGUUUGUUAAUCCCUGUCCUUGCAUCAUUAUGUCCUUCCGGUAAUAUGCAGUGUGGUGUCUUUUUUGUAUUUCUCCACCAUAAAGUAUAUCUCUUUUGAUCCUGUAUGCACAUCAUCACAUGUUGCAUUAGACAAAGGUUAGGGCUACCCAAAAAGUUAAUUUGAAUACACAUGAACAAAAAAGAAAAGCAGUCUAAAUGCAAGCAAUGCAACAGAAUAAUCCACAAUGAGAUACUAUGAUCAGAACUCUGACCGAGAGUCCAUCUCCAAGGAUAGCAACAGAUAUGUAUUUUCAAAUCUCUAAACUUCUCUUGCAUACUGAAUACCGUACGCAUCUGCUUGAAUCAGACCUUGGUACAUAAAAUCCUUAACGGACUCUGAGGAUCCAAGAAAAUCCCCAUACAGAGCUUUAUUUGCCAAAAAAUCAGCAACUUGAUUGGCUUCUCUAAAAGCAUGCGAGAUUUUAUAAAAUAACCCCAAAGUUUUCUAGAGGUAUAAAUCCUUUAUCUGAGGAAUAUGAUCAAUCUUCCCACAGAUGCGACUAUUUUGCCAAGAUACCAUUGUAGCCGAGUCCCCCUCCAGCCAAAUUUUAGAUGCUUGUAAUUUCGAUAUUGCAAUCUUAAUCCCAUACCAUGCCAAAUGAAGCUCUGCCAUGGGAACUGAGCAAAAAGAAAAAAAAGCUUACCUCCAACACAUAAAAUGGCAGUGUGAUGAUCUCGAAUUACAAUUCCGACAGCCGUAUUGUCUGCAGUAACCGAUGCAUCAAAGUUAAUUUUGACAACUCCUUCGGGAAAAGAUAGCCAAAAGAUAAAUUGAGAAAAGAAGAAGGAAGCUUCCUUCUGCAUUUGGCUAUCUCAAUACCGACACGGAGGCUAUGAGCUAUUUGAGACAACACUUUCAUUUGUUUUUAAAAAAAUCCAAAGCUUACGUAAAAGCUGCGAUAUAGUAAUAUAAGAAUGGUUGAAAAUGUAUUCAUUUCGGGCCUACUACAGCAACCAAGCUACAUAAGCCAUGAGUGAUUUCUGUUUAUUUCCUAUCCAUACAUUGGAAAGCUGUUCGCUCCAUAUCGAUAAAGAAUUAAAAAAAAAUUCACCCGAUAAAUGCAACUUAUCUAUUGCCAAAAAUUUCAUGCAAAGCCACAAUGGAUAAUCACAUACACACAAUCCUCAACUUGAUCCAGGCAUAAAUCACAAAACUAGUUGUUCGCAUCAAUAAUAUUGCAGUGAGCCAACAGAGCUUUGCAUUAAAGUCUAUCUCACACAAGCUUCUAAAAAAAUGUUUUAAGUUUUGGAGGCACCUUCAAAGUCUAGAUCCACCCAGAAUCCACCUACACUAGUUAACAAUAAUUAGAAGCAAUAAGAUCUUUUAUGUCUUGUAAUGAUACUUUCAAGCUCUUGGAUGAUGCCCAAACAAGUUUAUCCGGUCAUAUACCUUGCACCAAAGGAAUUUCACUAAUUAGAUGGAUUAGCUCAUUUGAAAAAAAAUAAAGAGAGAUGGUGCAAAUCCCAACAUCUAUCAGCCGUAAUAAAAUAUGAUAUCUGUAAGUUGAGAUCUGCAUUGUCUAUAUUUAUAAAUGUUGGCCAAAACAUAAUGAGAAUAUUUGUAAUCCAAAGCUCUUUGUAAACAUUAAUGGAAUUACUUGAUUCAACCAACCAUUGAAUCAGAAAUUUAAUGUGCGAUGCAGCAUUCGAGAUUUUUCUCUAAAUAAUGGAAGAACCUCUGUAACAUUUGUAGUCAACCCAAGUUCCAUGAAAAUGAUAUUUUGCCAUAACAAAUUGGGUCCACAGAGAAGAAGGUUGCAAGAUCACUUGAGCAACUAACUUAUAUAAACACACCAACUGACAGUGAGUUAAUGAUUGGAAUCCAAUACCUCUUUUUGCUUUUGGCAAAUAGACUUUCUCUCGAGCAAUAGGAUGGAAAGCCCUCCUAUUCCUGGUAUGUCCCCAAAAACAAGUUCUAAUCUUCUUCUCUAUCUGUCGAAAAAUUUAUAUAGAAAUAUGUGUUGAGGAGAGAGCAUAAAGCCGGAUAGCAUACAAAACUGAUUGUAUCAGCCACAUCCUUCCCGCAAGAGAUAACACACGCCAAUUCCAUGCAGCCAUCUUAUUAGAGAUUUUUGUAAGAAAAAAUUGAUAAUCAGCAAUAGAUGUCUUACCCGACAAUGAAACUCCUAAAUAUUGCCAAUUCAUUUUUUUUUCUGUAAUAUGUAGCAACUCUCUUAUCUGAUAUCUGACCUCACGAUCCGUAUCUAAUAAAAAAAUAACAUAAGAUUUAGUACUAUUAAUAAAUUGAUCCGAAUUAGUAUAAGCAUUUAAUACAGCUAACAGGACAAUCGUAUCUCUUAAAGAAGCACGGGCCACUAAUACAUAAUUAUUUGCAUAAAAAAUAUAAGAUAUUUUAAGACCCUCAGAAACUUUGAGCCCAUGAAGCAAAUGCAUUUGGAUCGCUGUAUAAAAAAAAUUUGUUAAGAUUUGAGAGCAAAUAAUAAAAAAAUUCGAUGAUUGCGAAUAUCUUUAUCUAAGACCUCUAGUAGUUUAAAAAAGAAUAGUCUCAAAUUUAUUAAUAAAUAAAAUAAAUUAAGAAUUACAAAUAUAGAUUCUAAUUCAAAAAAUAAACUGUUCAAAGGGGUCGAACUAAUUUAAGAUUAAAAAAAAAAUCAACGGAUCUUAUCAUAAUUUUUUUUUAUAUCUAAUUUAAUCAUCAUAAAUUUAUUUGAUAGAAUAAUUUGAGUGAGAAAAUAUAUAAUUUUUUAUUUAAAUAUAUAUAUAUAUAUAUAUAUUUUGUAAUAUCCCGGUUUGGAACUAAGACUCCCUAAUUUUUUGAAAUGAUGUCAGGUAAAAUCAAUGUCAGGUAAAAUUUAUAUUAAUAUCAUAAAGAUGGUGGUGAUGCGAGAUCUAAUGUUAUUUUUGUUUCAUGGAAUGGUGCACAAAUUUAUGCCGCGGAUAAUUUUAAUCGAGCACUCAUGAGAUGCUGCGCGAUGUGACAAAUGCUACUGCAGUAAUUAAUGAAAAUUAUUAUAACGAAAUAAUACUUAAUAUAAAUUUAUUCUCGUUGCUUCUUCUACUAAAAAUUUAGUGCAAUGGCCAUAACAAUCCAUAGUUGUUUCAGCAUUAUGAUGUAAACAAUUAAUGAAAUAGCUCUUUUCAACCAGACAUGUAACCAGUCAUGAUGAUGCUUAUCAUAAUUAUAUUUGAUGUGGAUUCCGAAUGCAAGAUCAAGGGAAUCAUGAAGAUUAAAAAGAUGACCGGUAUGAGUCAGCUAUUUGGGUCUUGUAUAUUCAUAAAUUCGAGCAUGAAUACUUUUGAUUCAUUGAAAGAUGUUUGAUUCACAAUCAGAAUUAAAAUCAAAAUAAAAAUUAAAAUAUAUUAAAAUUAAAAUCGAAAUGAUCAAAUUCUUCAAAAUAUUUGAUCCAUGAUCGAAAUCUGAAUCAGAAUAGAUGAUUCUCAUUGUUGUUGUUUGGUUCAUAUUAAGAUAGGAAUCGGAAUCAACUGAAAUUUUUAUUUUUAUUCUUAACUAAAAUUUUUAAAAAUUAAUUAUUUUAAAAAUUAAUAUUAAAUAAAAAUUAAAUAUAAUAAUAAUAUUUUAAUUUUUUAAAAAAUUAUUAUUAAAAAAUAUAGAUAGCAAAUAUUAUUUUAUCAUAAAAAUAUUAUUUUAUAAAAAAAUAUAAUGAUUAUAUAUAUUACAAUAAUAAUUGAUUUAUUUUGUAUUAUAUUUAAUAUAUCAAAAUUAUAUAAUAUUAACUUUAAAUGAUUAGAAAGCAGUGCAGGAUGCAUGCUAGGCCGAAUGUCUCAACUAAUUAGGGUUAGCCAAUUUAGGAUUUUAGGAUUGUAGUCGUUUUUCAAUAAUCGUAGCAUGCUAUCAUUUCUAAACCCUUUGCUCCUAAUUCUUGAUCUCAGAAGAGAGAUUGUAAAAUAUGGAGACCGUUGCCGCACCUGUCCCUUCUCCGCCCCAUCCUCCGUCGUUUUCUACCUUCUUCCCCUUCUCCACCGCCGCAUCCUCCCCUCUUUAUCGCAGCUGCCCAAUCCUUCUCCUCCCAAUUCACUGGCGCCGCCUUUGAGGCCUCUGAUGACCCCUUCGACCUUGCCCGUUCCAUCUCCACUGAACUCGUCAAGCUCUCCACCGCCGCCGAUCCCUCCUUUUCCUCCUCUUCCUCCUCCCACCUCAACCUCCACCACCGCAGAUGAGCAAGGCCGUGUGGUGGCUCGUCAUCGAGCUCCAGCAUGGUGCCGGGGCCACUGCUGGCGCCGCUCCCCAUCCCCACAUCUCCAUCGGGCUUUUUUCAAGACUCCAUCGUGGCCAGUCCUGGAUCUAUGAACUACGGGAAGAGGGCUGGGAUCGUCGUCGGCGACGGUGGUCGGAGUCCUAGGGAAGGGGGAGGGGGUCUUCUUGCAGGAAGGCUUCUUGAGGUGGUCACGGUUCUUGACGACGAGGUCGGCGAAGGAGGUGGGGAAGCCGAUCUGACGACGAGAGAGGCUCUGUGCUCGGGCCGGAGAUGAUUUUUUUUUUUAUAUCCAUUUCAUUCUAUGGGAAUGAGAUUUUGACUCAGUUGGGAUGAGUCCGAAUUUGAUUACUUAAGAAAUGGAUCAUUCUUGUUCCUUUCUGAAAUAGAAAUCGAAAUGAGAUUUUUUCCAACUAAAUAAUUGAAAUGAGAGUCAUACAUUUUGAUUCUCAUUUUAAAUCUUAAUUAUUCCAUUCAAAUACCCCCUCAAGUUAAUGCAGCCUAUCGGGCCUAUGAUGCAAUAUGCAUCGAUCCAUGUAGAUAAAUUUCAGUUGAGAUGGGUCUCGCAUUCAAUUUAGUUCAGCGGGGCGUAGAUUGGCUGGUCCUUGCAAGUCUAGCAAUCCGCCUCCCGACAACUGUUUGGAAGAGGUUUCCGCCUCCGGAUCCGAUUCAGAUAGAAGGAGGUGGAGAUCACGCAGCAGGAGUGCUGGAAGGCAUACGAAAUGGAGCGCACGCAACGGAAGGCUCAUAUCUUCUAGUUGAGAUGGCGCUCCAAACCGUAGCUUGCUCUCAAAUGACAAAUCCAAUCCCCUUUCUUCGUCGGCCCCUUCCGCUCCUCUCUCUCUCCGCAGCCCCGGUCCAAACCCCCUCCACUCUCGACCCCCACCCUCUUACCACCCCCUCCCAAAAAAAAUAUAUAUGCAUGGAGUUCCAGGGUAAGUGCUCUCCUCUACGCCAUUUUUUUCCCCCGUUCACGGCCCACCCACGCGUCCACGAGCAUGAGCUUGUCGUCGAUCGUAUCAAACGCCGGCGUCCUUUGUUUUAUGUCAUCAUCAUUGUUACUGCAUUUUGUUGAUUAUGCUGCAAUGACCUGUUGCCGUUAUUAUUGUUCCGAUAAUUGUUUAGCGUCGGUGCGUUUUGUUUCCAUGUGGGAUUCUCUCCGUGGUUUGCGCUCGCGGAUCGAUCUCAGUUUUACCUCUGGCGGUGUCCGGCUCAUGCUAUCAUCAAUUCGACGGUGUAUUGAUUUUUAUAUGGAUUUCUUCGGUUUGCUGUUUUGCUCGUUACCAAGCACGAGUGCUUUAUUCUGAAACAUGGUCUUUCUGGGGCCCUGCAAUUGUUUCAGGGGUUUUACUUGUUUGAGGAAAUUCGCCUCAUCUUUCGAGCCUUCUUUAGACGUGCCUAUGAAUCGGGAAGUAUUGUUCCUAAUUCUUUCCAUACGCUUAUCUGCAGCCACGUUAUAUCCUCCGCUCCUCUUUGGCUUUUCCUUGACGAUUCUUCUCUAAUUAAUUUAUCUGCUGCAAUUUUCAGGAGCGGCAGUCGAACCUGGAGAAACCGUCGAGCGCGAUCCUGGGGAUCUCAAAUAAUUGCAUCCGACUUAGGUUGUUGGUGCUGCUGCGGUGAUGCGUUUCUUUUUUUAUGACCUUACAUUGAAGAAUCCUUUAACUCAGGUGCUUCUUGAUUAAAUCUAGGCAUCGCUUGGGGAAUCUAAGAAGGACGAGGGAGCUGAAGAAGUGCCUAUCUUUGUGAAGUUCGAUGAUCAGAAGCCAGUGCUUGGAAAUCUUUCUGCAGAGAAGUGUGCCCAGAUCUCAUACGACCUGGUAUUCGAGAAACAAUUUGAACUGUCUCACGGCUCCAAGAAUGUCGGUGUAUAUUUCUGUGGAUACAAGACCGUUGUGCAUGAUACUUUUGGAUAUCCUUCUAAGUGUCCUUUGUUUCGGAAGUACUAUGCUCGAUCAUUUUAUCUGUUAUAUUUUAAAAUAUCAUUAUCUUGAUUUCGUUGACCUCAUCUUCUUGUUCCAUGGAUCACCUCUGAUUAUGAAUUUUAAGGUAAUCUCCCAAUAGCCGUGCCACCCCGACUUCCUCUGCUUGCAAAAAAUGUAACAACCUACUUACUUGACCCAAUGAAUUUUCCUUUCCAAUAAUAUUUGCAGAUAGUGAAUCUGAUUCUGAAGAUGACCUGUAAAUUGGCCAAAAAACAAAUGGUAUGAUUUUUGGAUAUUAAAUGCGAUUAUUAUCUAUUUAUGUUUUGAAACUCCAUGUGAUAAGAAGUAAUUUUGCAGUGCCUAUAUGAAAUGAUAUGUUUACCUUUUUAGGUGUAAUUUGUGACGAUAUGAUUCUACAGGGCUUGUUGAAUUGCUAGGUCUGCAUUCAUAUCAUUGUUUAUACUUGCAGUGGUCAUGUAUUAACUUGACACUAUUAUCAGUUCAUUAGCAUCUGCUGGUGAACCAUUGUUUCUUUAGAUGGUUAAUGUUGUUGGAGUUGUCAGAACACUUACUUUAAGCAAGCAUAAUUAAUCUGAUAGGACUGAUGCAGAACAUCUGGUUCAUGGACAAACUAGGACUCUUAGGAAGGUCCAUGUGAGAAACCAUUUUUUCCAAUCCAAACAAGAGCUGAGAGCAGAGCUUUUUUGUCAUAUGGAUAGGAUUAGCGGUUCAGUUUUAGUAUUCAUUGGUGAAGGCUCAUUUUGUCAGAUAGUUAUUGCUGUUCUGAUCGUUAAGGAAAAUGCCUUGAGGAAAAUAAGUUUGAUAGGAUCGGUGUAGAAUACUGGUUGAGGAUGCAAAAAAGAUUGGUUUGAAACAUUUUAAGAUAUAACAUCAAAGACUGACAAUGAGAUAAUGAUCAAUUGUUGUCUAGAAUUUCUUACUUUUAUUUGUGGUUCUUUUGCAAUAAUGAUCAAGUGUGUACCCUAAAGUGUUUCAUUAGGCCCGUGCUUGUUAUCAAGUGUUUUCAAAUGCAGUGCAUGCCACUACAUACAUGAAUGUAGUCCCUUGACUGUGCCCUAUUGCCUAUAUGGGGGCAUUUGGUGACCUAGAUGGGAGUACCACAGUGUUCUAAGAUUAUCAGUGAUUCUCAUCUUGGUGUAAUAUGAUCUCCAAUGCUCUAAGAUCAUUGCAUUAGGCAUGCCAUGUUUCGAUGAUUAAAGGUCUCUGGGAAUCCAUGAAUAAUCUGUGUGGUGCCAUGGGAAUCCAAGCCCAUUGAACAUAUCAUACCACAAAUACCCCUGACAUGUGCCAGGAAUUUUUUUUAUCUAUUCUCAAUUCCCAUGAAUUAAGAAUGUAAGCAAAUAUGCUAAUUCUUAUGGUGUCCCUAACGUUUUGUCAUAGACUCUAAACUUUUAGUGGCUCCUUCCUCUUCCCUUGAUUUCCUUCCUCUUCCUUUGAGUUCCUUCUCUUGCAUGGAGAGGAUGGAGUUGCUUCUCUUAUGUGGAGAGCAUAGCUUGAAAACUCUAGCUCACCUUUCCUUCGUUUGCGUGGGGACAUCAUCAUUUGGAAUCUGUCACGAAAGAUGCAUGGCAAUUACGAAGAGCAUUUUGGUCAUCAUAUUUUGGUCCAAAAUUAUUGCGCUAGGAUGAUCGUAGGUACCCAUCCUCAAGGAUCGGUUUACAAUCACCAAGUUGGGUAGUAAUUUGAGGGGUAGGGGUGAUCCAAGAUCACUGCCAUGUAGGAUCACCGGGGUGCAACUAAAUGCCAUUAUCUUGUCACUUCCGCCCAGAUUAUCCUUGAUCCUAGGGCCCCCAUAUUAAACAUCCUAUAUGUGGUUAUUAUGCAAUCAUACUGCAUAUGUGCCGAAGAGGUGGUCCACUAACAUUAUGGCCACAUAUACAGCUCUCUUGGCAUACCAUAACUGCUUAUGUAGCUCGUCUAGCAUUAUAGGCCACAUGUGCUAUCUACUUUUAUGGGAGCCCAUGUGGAUGAAGCAGGUUCGAGUUUAUGGUUAGGUACUUAGGUUUAAUAUGGGUUUCAGAUGUGCCUGAUACAAGUAUUAAUAACUUUAGUGUGUUAAAUAUGUCAUGACUAUUGCCAUUAGGCAUAAAGCAUAUGAGGCAUGAAGUACCAAGUGGCAAGUGCUAAUUAUUAGUUUGCUAUUAUGUUAAUAUUGCUAUUGGUUAUCCAAAAAAUUACCAUCAUAAUUUAUGUCUUUAAUAUUAAAUAUAUUGUAUUAUUUGUAAUAGUUAUAAAAUAGUAACUGCAUUUGUAGCCAGCACACCAUAUAUGCACCUGCAUAUCAUACAUGCACGAUGCAGUCCACUGGCUGCAUACUUCGAUGAUCUUUUGAAACACUGUUGAUGUCAUCUGUUAACAUAAUUUAGCAGCGUGCCUUCCCCCUUUUCCCAUGAAGAGGUCCAUUUUAUGAAAAAAGAUGGUCUUAACUUUUUAAACUUAUUCUUUUGGGCUUAUAGUCCAGUUUGUACACUAGGUACUAGAAAGCAUAGAUAUCGGUAUGCGGUACAGGUAUUUUAUGGUACGAAUACGCUGAUACGGUAAAAAUUGAAAAAAUCAUGAUUCAGGUAUGGCUAGAUAUUUUAUAUUUUUAUUAAUAUUUGAAUAUAUAUAAUAUUUCAAUAUUAAUAAAAAUAUAUGAAAAAAUUGAAUCAUAUAUAUAAUAUUCGAAUUUUAAUAAAAUUAAGUUCUCAAAUCUCAACUAAAGUUAUAAGUAUCAUCAUAAAAAACAAACACAUGCAAUCAACGAAAAAAAAACUAGCAGUCUAAAUAAGUAGAAAAAAUGAAAACAGUAAGUCUUGAUAAUCAAGUGAUAAUAGUUUCAGCUAUUUCAUUCUCUACAUCAUCGGCAAAAAGUUUCUUCUCCACAUCUGGUUCAUCAAGAGGCAAACUUGCAAUCUCAAGAAUACAAAGAUAGGAGUACUGAUGCCGCACCGAAAACAUAUCCGGUGCUGGUACACACCUGAAAUAGGAGUACCAGUGCUUCAUUGACUAGGUAUCAUGUCAUAUCUCGAGUAUCCAUUUAAUCAACCUAUGACUGUAAUACUAUUGUUCUAACUUUUAUUGUUUGAGUUGCCUGUAUUUUGAGGCCUAUUCGAUCAAGUUGUUGUUUUUAUGUUUUUGUUUUUUUAUGAUAGUGAAAUAUCACAGGAAGAUUGGUGGUGAUGAUAAUGUUUGCAUGAAACUUCUUCCAACCCUUGUUUUUAAAUCACUCUUUUUGAAAGUAAUAAAUCUUUGCUACCAAGAGCUCUAAAGAUUUUACAAACAUUUCUUUUUUAAAAAAAGAGAGUUUUAAUUGUACAUGUUGUUCAAUCUUAUUCAUUUUUGUUCUUGGUUUUUUUAAAACAAAAACAGAAAACAGAAGCAAUGCCAAAUGGGUCCUCAAUUUAUCAUGUGCCUGGUUCUAUGAGUGGCCCCUAGCCAAGUGGAAAGUUUGAAAUACAGUUCAAUAUUUCACAUUCAGUUGGGUUCUGGGAGCUUUGUGGUCCAUCUGAUUUACUUGCUGAAUUCGGCAACACCUUCAAUGCUUAUUUUUGGUGUAUCAUUAACUGGACUCCAGUAAUGUUACUCCUCUAGUGACACUUCUCAUGUGAUACUUAUAUUUGUGCAGCCUGGCAGGUAUGUGAUGGGUAAGGCUAUGUCAGCUUCCUACUUGAAGAGAAGCACUAAAUUGGCAGGAUUUGCAUGUGCAGUUGCAUGCCUGGAGCCCAAGAAACAUUUCCUUUUCUUGUUAAGCUAUUUGCUCCUCUUGAUAUCUUAAUGACCUCACUGAAAAUGAAAUAGACUUUCCAUUCAGAACUUCCUUUUCAUAACGUUCUUGUAGUUGCAAUAAAUAAGUUUUAUAUUGAUGUCCAUGCUUUAUUAGCAACCUUAUUUGUCUAAAUGAUUGCACUAAUCUCCACUUCUUUUGCUUCAUAUUAGAUUUUGGCUUCUGCAUUUUUACCUACUUGCUUCUCAGUCCUUUGGUUUAUAGUUUUCACAUGCAUUACAGUUGUUACAAUCAGGCAAGCUCAUUGUGAAGGAUGAGAAGGGCAAGCCUGCGACGAGAAAGGCUACUGCUGGCAACAAGGGUGCUGCUUCAUCUGCUAAACCCAAGACCAAGAGGGAAGAAUCAAUAAAGGCUGAUAAACCAAAGGCAGAUGAGGAGGAUGAUGACGAGGAAGAUGAUUCUGAAGAAGUAUCUAAUGAAGAUGAGGUUGUAAGCAGUUUUACAUUCUCCUUUCUUAUCAAUCAACAUCUGCCUUUGUCCAAUUCAUGUUCCUGAUUCCUUUAUUAUACUCGUGGGCCAUCAUUUGAGUAAUAUAAUCAAUGUCAAAUAUGUUCCCUUGGUUCUUUAGACACAUCAAGGAAGAGUUGGAACUUCUGAGCACUCAAGUUUAUAUUUUUGAGUUGGAAAAACCAAAAAAAUCAGUCAUUGAUUAUUAUGUUAUUCCUAGAUGGCCUUUCUACAAAAGUAAUUUCUUUACUGAUGGCAGCUUAAUGGCAUGUAUGUUUUUGAUUUAGGACAUGGCUGAAACUCUAUGUGACAGUGAUGAUGAAGAUGAAGAUGAGGAUUCAGAAGAGGCAGAUGAAGCUACACCCAAGAAGGUAAUUAGACUCGAUCCUUUUUUUUAACCAGUACUAGUUUGGUAAUGUUUCUGUGGAUAUUAUUCAAUUGGCAAUUCACUGUGUAGGCUGAAACUGGCAAGAGGAGACCAUGCUGAAAGUCUGUGCCAAAAACAUCUUGUUCAGAGAAGAAGGCCAAAAUUGAGAAAACAGGUUCGUGUUCCAGCUUAAUACUCCUCAAUCUUCAUGUCAAUACAUGGUCAUGUGAAAGCUCCUAUGGUUGCAUGCUCAUAGGUCUGCACUUGUUGUAAACUGGAGAAACAAGUUGGGUGCUUGGAACGGUUCAGAUAGACCUAGAGGUGUAUUUGGAAGAAAUGUACACUUUCGUCUCAAAUGUUGUAAAAGAACUAGGAUAUUUUAAAAGUUAGAAAUAUGUUGUCCAAAAUAAAAAUUUUGACUAGAAAUAAUGAUUAUAGGAGUGGUGAGAAUUGCGACAGUGGUUAAAGCACCUGCACCUGCACCGCAGCCAACACAUACUACCAUACUUUUUAAUCUAUGAUUGUUAAUUUAGUCGGGAAUGGUUGACAAGUACGUAACAUAUUUUUUUGAUAAUUUACAAUUUUUUUUUGUUCAUAUAAUAAUUGCAAUCAUUAUCUGGAGAAUCAUUCUAUGGAUCAAAAAAAUGUGGAUAGUUGUUUUUUUUUAAAUAAUUUUGGUAAUGCUGCUAUCAUGUCGUUGAAUUUUAUUUACAGGUGAGAAAGGUCAUACUUUAACUCCCCUCCCAGCUAAACAAGUUGGGAAAGCACCUGCAGAUGGCGACUAGCAGCAAGGACCUGUAUCCUGUGGAUCAGUGAGUUGCAAGCCAUGUUCCAAGUACAUAAACAUUACAUUUGUAUUUUUAAGGUUCACCUUCUCUGUUUUUCUCCAGAACUUUUGUCGCGAAAAUGCUUGUAGGCAAUGAUGGAAGAGGCAGUGGUAGGCAUGAAGUGGCAACCUCCUCCUCCUCCUCCUCG
This 15408-nucleotide long non-coding RNA is filed under the name Elaeis guineensis (African oil palm). RNAcentral describes it as "long non-coding RNA (EGUI_LNC002172)". The record is from RNAcentral. Lineage: Eukaryota; Viridiplantae; Streptophyta; Magnoliopsida; Arecales; Arecaceae.